GAAAUGCGAUAAUUAAUGUGAAUUGCAGAAUUCAGUGAAUCAUCGAGUCUUUGAACGCACAUUGCGCCCCCUGGUAUUCCGGGGGGCAUGCCUGUCCGAGCGUCAUUGCUGCCCUCAAGCACGGCUUGUGUGUUGGGCUACCGUCCCUGGCAACGGGGACGGGCCCAAAAGGCAGUGGCGGCACCAUGUCUGGUCCUCGAGCGUAUGGGGCUUUGUCACCCGCUCCCGUAGGUCCAGCUGGCAGCUAGCCUCGCAACCAAUCUUUUUAACCAGGUUGACCUCGGAUCAGGUAGGGAUACCCGCUGAACUUAAGC
RNAcentral lists this unclassified non-coding RNA (314 nucleotides) under plant metagenome. Its description in RNAcentral is "partial contains 5.8S ribosomal RNA, internal transcribed spacer 2, and large subunit ribosomal RNA". The stretch from base 1 to 105 matches the Rfam family "5.8S ribosomal RNA", at positions 50 to 154 of the family's 154-position model. The record is from RNAcentral.